RNAcentral lists this ribosomal RNA (433 nucleotides) under uncultured bacterium. RNAcentral's name for it is "partial 16S ribosomal RNA". It matches the Rfam family "Bacterial small subunit ribosomal RNA", at positions 29 to 507 of the family's 1533-position model. The record is from RNAcentral.
AACGAACGCUGGCGGCAUGCCUAACACAUGCAAGUCGAACGAGACCUUCGGGUCUAGUGGCGCACGGGUGCGUAACGCGUGGGAACCUGCCCUUAGGUUCGGAAUAACUCCCCGAAAGGGGUGCUAAUACCGGAUAAUGUCUUCGGACCAAAGAUUUAUCGCCUUUGGAUGGGCCCGCGUUGGAUUAGCUAGUUGGUAGGGUAAAAGCCUACCAAGGCGACGAUCCAUAGCUGGUCUGAGAGGAUGAUCAGCCAUACUGGGACUGAGACACGGCCCAGACUCCUACGGGAAGCAGCAGUGGGGAAUAUUGGACAAUGGGCGAAAGCCUGAUCCAGCAAUGCCGCGUGAGUGAUGAAGGCCUUAGGGUUGUAAAGCUCUUUUACCCGGGAUGAUAAUGACAGUACCGGGAGAAUAAGCUCCGGCUAACUCCGUG